RNAcentral lists this ribosomal RNA (497 nucleotides) under uncultured bacterium. RNAcentral describes it as "partial 16S ribosomal RNA". It matches the Rfam family "Bacterial small subunit ribosomal RNA", at positions 28 to 507 of the family's 1533-position model. The record is from RNAcentral.
GAUGAACGCUGGCGGCGUGCCUAAUACAUGCAAGUCGAGCGAACAGACGAGGAGCUUGCUCCUCUGACGUUAGCGGCGGACGGGUGAGUAACACGUGGAUAACCUACCUAUAAGACUGGGAUAACUUCGGGAAACCGGAGCUAAUACCGGAUAAUAUAUUGAACCGCAUGGUUCAAUAGUGAAAGACGGUUUUGCUGUCACUUAUAGAUGGAUCCGCGCCGCAUUAGCUAGUUGGUAAGGUAACGGCUUACCAAGGCAACGAUGCGUAGCCGACCUGAGAGGGUGAUCGGCCACACUGGAACUGAGGCACGGUCCAGACUCCUACGGGAGGCAGCAGUAGAGAAUCUUCCGCAAUGGGCGAAAGCCUGACGGAGCAACGCCGCGUGAGUGAUGAAGGUCUUCGGAUCGUAAAACUCUGUUAUUAGGGAAGAACAAAUGUGUAAGUAACUAUGCACGUCUUGACGGUACCUAAUCAGAAAGCCACGGCUAACUACGUG